GAUGAACGCUGGCGGCGUGCCUAAUACAUGCAAGUCGAGCGAACGGACGAGAAGCUUGCUUCUCUGAUGUUAGCGGCGGACGGGUGAGUAACACGUGGAUAACCUACCUAUAAGACUGGGAUAACUUCGGGAAACCGGAGCUAAUACCGGAUAAUAUUUUGAACCGCAUGGUUCAAAAGUGAAAGACGGUCUUGCUGUCACUUAUAGAUGGAUCCGCGCUGCAUUAGCUAGUUGGUAAGGUAACGGCUUACCAAGGCAACGAUGCAUAGCCGACCUGAGAGGGUGAUCGGCCACACUGGAGCUGAGACACGGUCCAGACUCCUACGAGAGGCAGCAGUAGGGAAUCGUACGCAAUGGGCGAAAGCCUGACGGAGCAACGCCAAGUGAGUUAUGAAGGUCUUCGGAUCGUAAAGCUCUGUUAUUAGGGAAGAACAUAUGUGUAAGGAACUGUGCACAUCUUGACGGUACCUAAUCAGAAAGCCACGGCUAACUACGUG
RNAcentral lists this ribosomal RNA (497 nucleotides) under uncultured bacterium. Its description in RNAcentral is "partial 16S ribosomal RNA". It matches the Rfam family "Bacterial small subunit ribosomal RNA", at positions 28 to 507 of the family's 1533-position model. The record is from RNAcentral.